Molecule: transfer RNA, 71 nt
Filed under: Streptomyces yaanensis
Lineage: Bacteria; Bacillati; Actinomycetota; Actinomycetes; Kitasatosporales; Streptomycetaceae
Description: tRNA-OTHER
Source: RNAcentral
CCCGGUGCGCAGGCAACGGAUACUUCUCCUUCGAACAGAGAAAGACGCGGGUUCGAAUCCCGCCGCCGGUC